Molecule: long non-coding RNA, 1538 nt
Filed under: Homo sapiens (human)
Lineage: Eukaryota; Metazoa; Chordata; Mammalia; Primates; Hominidae
Description: HSALNT0344541
Source: RNAcentral
GUGAUCCAAAGCUUUUCCUGAUGAAGCACAAAGUUGGAGAAAAAAAAGCAAACUAAACAACAACAAUGAAACAGAACAGAGUUAAUCUGCUGUAGCUCAAGAGAGGACGUAGCUGCCCCCACUCCGCAUCCCUGGGCUCGGGUUUGCCUUGCUGACCUCUGCUGCCACCUGGUGCCACACAGAGAAACUGAGGAGAAACCACAUCAGUCUCCUUCAGCCUCAGCUUCACAUCUGUGGGUCAAGUAACCCUUUCAGAAGCUGAAUAAUGUGGGAAAGCUUUCCUCUCAGGAAAAUGCACACAUCCAACUUUGAGAAGAUGCCCUUGGGGGUGCUUCAAGGAUCCUAGAUAAAGAACCCCCUUUCCCGAACAUCCAAGAACCUAAGUUUUUUUUUUUUUUUUUGAGAAAGUCUCGCUCUCUCUCCCAGUCUGGAGUGCAGUGGCGUGAUCUUGGCUCACUGCAAGCUCCACCUCCCAGGUUCACGCCAUUCUCCUGCCUCAGCCUCCCGAGUAGCUGGGGCUACAGGCACCUGCCACCAAACCCGGCUAAUUUUUUUGUAUUUUUAGUAGAGACGGGGUUUCACCGUGUUAGCCAGGAUCGUCUUGAUCUCCUGACCUUGUGAUCCACCCGCCUCGGCCUCCCAAAUUGCUGGGAUUACAGAUGUGAGCCACCGCACCUGGUCCAAGAACCCAAGUUUUAGAUCUAGAGUGAUGUCAGCAUGACAUUGAUUUCCUGAGGCCCAGGGGCGAAGGAGCUGAGGACAGCAGAGGGGUGAAGGAACUCAGCUACAGACAGCAGCAGCUGAUGCACAGGGCUCCCAGCGCCUGAAGUCACCCGGAAUUGGGAAGUGCUCAGAAGCUUACAAAGCUGCCUCGAGUAAGAGGACCUUGUGCAUGAAUAAUUUGUUUCCACACUGCAGAGUGGGUAAUAAGCAGAUUAGUAAAAACAAUUCUGCUUCACUUCAAUAACAGCCUCCUCCAACUCAUUUUUUCUCAACAAACUUAUUUUUGCAGCAGAAGAAUCCCAGACUUCUUAGAGAACCCAGUGACUUUUUGCACCUUAAAUCUGUGAAAUCCUCAUGCUUUCUUCUGCCGUAUCCAUCGUUCAAACAAACAUGAGGCAAAGCUAGACACAUUCCUGAAGGAACCCAAGAAAUUCCUCUCUUUCUCUCUCUGGAAUGAAAUGAAUUCUCUAGACCACCAGUUCUAACCUUCAAAAACCAAACCUGUUUGUGAGAUCUCCUUCAAAUACUACUGUAGACCCCAGUGUUUAUUCAUUAAAUUUUUUAAAUAUUUGUUUUAUUUGGAAUCAAAGUAUUUGUAAUUUUAGUAUUUGUAUUAAUAUAAGGGAGAAAUGUUUAAAUCUGUCUAUGCCACAUGUGCCUUCGGCUUAUUGCCCAAUUAAUUGUAGCCUCAGGCUAAACUUUGGUUUCUGUCUUUAAUUUUUGUCGGAAGAAAUAUAACUGGUCUCAAAACAUCUGCUUUUAUUGUAGGGACUCGUGCUGCCAUCUCCAUUCCUCUCUCUUUUCUUGCAAUCUGG